Lycium ferocissimum is the source of this 1089-nucleotide RNA transcript. RefSeq lists it as uncharacterized. NCBI's taxonomy places the organism in Eukaryota, Viridiplantae, Streptophyta, Magnoliopsida, Solanales, Solanaceae. The transcript is spliced from 2 exons. The record is from RefSeq and is a predicted model, not a curated record.
AUUUUAUUCGGCUUACCAAAUGGUUUCCUAUAGCUUACAGGAUACUAAUGCUUUCAAAAUCCAGAUUAGAUCGUAAUUAUUCUAAAUUAUUGUACAGAUUUGAGUGGUAUUGCUAAAAAUUAAACUACCAUGAGGAGCUUCUUUUAUCUACUCAUUUAGCCUCAUAUGAUUUCUACAAUAUAGAAAUAUGAGAUGGCAGUGUGGAUCGACAUGGCAGCUUAAUGCCAAUAAAUUUAGAGUUGAGGGCACUUUAGACUUUGAGCAAUAUUUAAGCAACGUGUCUUUUAAGAACUACCACGCAUCAGCACCACCUGUCGUUUAUACUCUCACUUAUGCAUAGUUUGACAUAUUGGACGUAUGCAACUAGAUGAUAUUAAUCUCCUUGGAGACGAGACAACGGAGAAGAAGGCAGCGGAAGCAAUGGAGGCUGGUAAGGUAUCUACUAAGAAGAAAGAGAGUGAGCUUUGAUAUUUCCUUCUCAGUUGAUUUUGUGUUCAAUUCACAAUUACUGUGGAAAGAAAAUGCAAAACAUCUUCGAACUUGAAUGUGGAAAAUAUGUUCCUUUGCUCAAGUAAAUCAUCAAUAGGCUUCAUCGUGGUGUUGUUACUUUUGUAGGUGAAAAUUCAUCAAUUUCUUUGGACGUUAAGCCUUGGGAUGACUAAAUCAUAUGAAGAAGCAAGAGGAGGUUGUUUGCAAUGUUCAGAUGGGAGGGCUUUUUUGGGGAGCAUGCAUGACUUAUUAUAUCCAUUCAACUCUUUAACCAUGCCCUAACCAUUAUAUAUCUGAGUUUGGUUAUUGACAAGCUGUUUUUGCGUCUCUUUGACAACCAAAUUAGUUCUAAUCGGCAACGGGAUUAAGAAAUUGCAAAUCAUGCUUACCAUCGUGGAUGACCUGAAAUUUGGGCUGUCUAGAGCCCCAUGUUGUUGGUAAGUUUUUGCGCAUUUGUGCUUGAGAUUCUGUGGAUUUCCUUAUGUUUCUUUUGAUAGCAUUUCCUAAUGGGGAAAACUUUGAGGUAGGGAGUCGAAGUUGUUAUUGCUAAAACUUUGAGAAGAUACACCAUAAUAAAGGCAAAAUUUCAAAUUGCGCCUC